This 324-nucleotide ribosomal RNA is filed under the name uncultured eukaryote. RNAcentral's name for it is "partial 18S ribosomal RNA". It matches the Rfam family "Eukaryotic small subunit ribosomal RNA", at positions 1470 to 1796 of the family's 1831-position model. The record is from RNAcentral.
CCCUUAGAUGUCCUGGGCUGCACGCGCGCUACACUGAUGUGUCCAGUAAGCACCUAACCUCUUCCGAAAGGAACGGGUAACCUUUGCAAAGCACAUCGUGAUGGGGAUAGAUUAUUGCAAUUAUUAGUCUUGAACGAGGAAUUCCUAGUAAGCACAAGUCAUCAGCUUGUGUUGAUUACGUCCCUGCCCUUUGUACACACCGCCCGUCGCUCCUACCGAUUGAAUGUUCCGGUGAGCUCUUCGGACUGCGCGGUCUGCAGUUUCUGCGUUCCGUGCGGAAAGUUGCGCAAACCUUAACAUUUAGAGGUAGGAGAAGUCGUAACA